CGGGUGAGUAAUACAUAGGAAUCUACCCAGUAGUGGGGGAUAACUUGGAGAAAUCCAUGCUAAUACCGCAUAUGUCCUACGGGGCAAAGCAGGGGACCCUCGGGCCUUGCGCUAUUGGAUGAGCCUAUGUCGGAUUAGCUAGUUGGUGGGGUAAAGGCCUACCAAGGCGACGAUCCGUAGCUGGUCUGAGAGGAUGAUCAGCCACACUGGGACUGAGACACGGCCCAG
Molecule: ribosomal RNA, 228 nt
Filed under: uncultured bacterium
Lineage: Bacteria
Description: partial 16S ribosomal RNA
Rfam family: Bacterial small subunit ribosomal RNA
Source: RNAcentral